ACUUCAGAUGCAGAUUGUUAGGGUUAUUUCACCACCCGAGAAGACUACCAGCAGAUCUCACUGCCUUCCCCACACCUCACGCCUCACACCCGCAGAUCGGCAUUAACAAUCUUCGCCUCACGCUGUCGCCACUCCUCGCCACAGAUCGAGAAGACUACCCGUCGCCACUCACUGCGUCCAGCCAACGCCGCCGCCGUCUACACCCCCUCGCCUCACGCCCCGUCGCCGCUGCCGCCGGUCUCCACUCGCCUCACGUCGCUGUCAGCGAACUCGCCGCUUCAUAGAUGAGCUUAAAGCCGUAUAGCCAAUUCGGUUGGUAGGCUUCUCCUUAGCUUUCGAGGUUUAUGAUUUGGUACGCCAUCUCCGACUCUCCUCUCUUGAUGACGAACAACCUCACAACUUUCUCUGCGCUUUUGCUAUGCUUCAGUUGAAAUCUGAAGACUGUAGCCACCAGGCUGUUGACAGUGAAACAGGGCCAUGGUUUCUGCUUCUUUAGUGCCCUCUUUUUAUGCUGGGGGCUGAUAAGCUCAUAAAUCUGAUUUCCGUUCAAAUAAAAUUCAAUUAAAACAGGGCCAUCUGUAAUGAAAGCAGCAGAUCAAUCAAGAAAAUGACUACUGAGGGGCUAUUAUGCUGGUCAUUUGUCCCACCAGCAAUUUGUACAGCAUUAUGUGGAAAACGGAUUAUUGUAUUAAGUGAUACGUUUUCUGACGUUGGCAUUAGUAUUCGCACUUGGAUGUCUUGAAAGUAUGUGUGGAUGGGAAAUUUUUGUGAAUGCACUGAAAAAGACCUUAUUAAGGUAUGAUACAGAAUGAAAUUAAGAAAGAUAUGACCAUUGCCUGAUGUACAUGACUUAUUUCCCCAAUACAGAGCCAUGCUAUGAAGAUAUCAUUGUGCUCCUUCCAGGAGGGUACCUUUCUGGCUAAUAUUAUUGAUUCUAUUCUUCUCCUCUGACCAGUUGAGCUGCCCAUGCGGGCAUUAUUGAUUCUAUUCUACAUUGCAGGGAUUCUGCUGUUGUCGGGAAGGGAAGGGAAGGACCACAUUUAUUGCAAGUAUCAGGUAGGUUUUACUCCUCAUUUGAGAGAAUAUCUUUACAGUUUGUUGAAAGGGGUUUAUUUGAAUUGUAUUUAUCAUGGUGCCCUAUUGAAAGUGAAACAGGGAAGCUUUAUGUAGGGUAUUUGAUUGUGGUGAAGUGGUUCUUUUCCUUAUUAAUUGGAAUUGGUGAGUUUCUAUCUAUGAUUUUAAAUUCUUUCCCUGGCCCUGAUAUUACUUCUGCUGUUUGUCAGUGUGGUUGCCCAACCUUUAGAAUGGUUACUUCACUUACUUGUAACUCCUUUAGCCUUAAGCUCUGGAAAUGUAACACUUAAGCAUGUUAUUAACAUCUAAAUAUGAUACUAUUUAAACUAUCUAGGGACAGAAUAGAACUUAAAAAUCAAGCUUUAAUGUGUUCCAUCAGGUAUCUGAAUCUGAUGAGCUUAAUGUGGUAAGAUGAGUUGUUUUUUGUGAUUACUAGUACAGUGUACUAAAAAUGUGUUUUUCUCUAUGGUCCUAGUACUCUGUUAAUGGUUUGCCUAGCUCUAUGGACGUGUGGCUUGCUUAUGCACCUGUAUAAAGAAACUAUGCCAUUUGAAGGUUUGUGAAAUUCAUUUUCAACCCUUUGGGAUAUAUUAAAUAGAUUUCCACAUGAUUUUAUCAGUUGUGUUAAUCUAUUUUACUUGGGAACCCAUACCAUAGUGCUACUUCUCGAGAAAUGGCCAUAUAUAAAGCACAUAGCCUCGUUCUGAGAAAGUUCAUUUUUCUCUCAAGCCAGAUAUAUUUGUGGAUUUGAUGUUAUUUCUAAAACUGAAUUUUCCUAAAAAUUAGUUGCAGUUGAUUGUUGUUGGUGUAUAAGAAGGUUUAUUGAUUGAAUUUAUUAGUACAUUUAAAAUUAAAGCUCGUAAUAACAUUAUUGCACUCAUAGUUUAAUUAUUAAAAAAAAAGUUGAAGUUCAAAAGCAAAUAUAUAUGGAAUUCAAAUAAAGAUCCAAUAUAAUUAUUACUUUACAUUUAUGCAGAAGUAUAUAUUUUACUUCCUAAUAUUAAUGAUAACAUUUUCAGAAUGCACCAAAAGAUGUCAUCAAAGCUAUUUAUGACAUUUCAUUUGAUCCUGUUAUUAGGAUAAUCCGCCAAAGUGAUGAUCAUAGUGAAAUGCAGGUUCCUCUUUCUCUAUUCGUUAAAUGUUCAUAUGUUUUGUGUGACUUAAGAUUAAAAAUAACCUGUUGAUGUUGCUUUUGUAAAUUAGAAUGCAAUCCACUAGAUCAUAGUACAUGUCUUACUCUUAUAUUUUGAGGUCACAACUGAUCAAAUGUGUGGUCAACAUUGUAAGACACUAAGAGAUCAUCAUUACAUGACCAGAGAUAGCAAUAUCAAAUGCAGGCAGACCACUAGAUCAAAUAGGGAAGGUUCCUUUUAACAUAUUCUACUAAUUGGUCUCAAGGAUCUUUUUUUAAAAAUGUUUCUGGGCUCUUUUAGUUGCUUUAAUUUUCGUAUGGUGGUUUGCGGUUAUCUUGCCAAAAAAUUGUACUAUGAUUAAUGCAUCUAAUCUGCACAAUGAUAUAACAUAAUAGGUGUUGAAGCUCGAGUAUUCUGGGCGUGAUCUAAUCUGCACAAUGACCCUGUCUGCAGCUAUAAGGCUUUUGGGUGUGAUCCAAUCCUCAUAUUUACAUUCUGCUCCCUCAGCUCUUCUUUUUAAAUUAUUGGCUAUUAGUUUCCAUUGAUGCAUACCUUACUAAUUAAACAUGCAUUGCUUGCUGUUCUUGUUGAAUAUUGAUUAAGUGGCUAGUUAUGUGGAAAUAUAUUGUUAUGUAGGAGUAUGAUUUUAGUAUUAAAUGCUACGGAGUAUUUUUCUGCAGGCUUCAAAAAAAAAAGGGGAGAAAUUGGCAUUUUACUCUAUGCCUGAGUAUGAAGCAUGGAAGGAGAGUUUAGGGGAUAAUGCACGCUGUUGGUCUAUAAAGUACUACAAGGUCUGUGUACCAAAAAUAUUCAUGAACUUAUUGCAAGCUGUUUCUGCAGGCUUCAAGAACAGGAAGAAUUUUUUUCUGGGCAGAUGACCGAGAUGGGGAGGCAAUAGAACUUGCUUUUAAUAAGAUGAUUGAAGCGAGGAAGAAUUGGCUGAGAUAAUUUGAGGUUUUUGAAUUUUUAGAUUGUUCGUAAUUUUGUUAUUGCAAUGAACUAAAAUUUCAGUGUUCAUUCUACAAUUUCUACAUAGAUUAUCAGACGGGGUUGUUUUAGUAUCUAUUUAGUAUUUCAAUGUCUCUUAUGUUUUUGGAUCUGUGAUGUUAUAGGUUGUUGCAGUUUUGUUAUUAUUCAUUAAUGUGUUUUCCUUUAAUUGGCUUACAUGGAAACACUGCUUUUCUGUUGUAAUUCAUCUUGGAAUUAAUGUAUAAUGACAUCCAGGGGUGACUUUGACUUAAUUUUGGAUGGAAUCCAUGAGUAUUUGUGGAAA
Long non-coding RNA from Ipomoea triloba (trilobed morning glory), 3480 nucleotides. RefSeq lists it as uncharacterized. The transcript is spliced from 3 exons. Lineage: Eukaryota; Viridiplantae; Streptophyta; Magnoliopsida; Solanales; Convolvulaceae. The record is from RefSeq and is a predicted model, not a curated record.